AUGUUGAGGAUGGAGGUGUCCAAGGUGGCAGCCAACCUCUCCCUCUCCUCCUCCAGGAACCACCGCCCGCCGCCCAAGUGGUCGCCCAAGCCGGGGAAGUUCUUCCGCGAGCGAGACCUCAUCACCGGGAACCGGAUGCCGAUGCCGGACAUCACCGACAAGAUGCCGCCACGCGCGUUCCUGCCGAGGGACAUCGCCGCCAAGAUCCUGUUUGAGGCGGGUGCCGUGUCUGCGCUGUUCGGGGCGCCGUCGGGCAACGCGAUGAGGCAGGUGGUGGCGUCAACAGUGGAUGAGUGCGCGCGCCCACCCAGCCGAGGCGAGACCAAGCGGUGCGCGACGUCGGCCGAGGACAUGCUGGACUUCGCCGUGGAGAUGCUCUGGGACAAUGUGGCCGUGCGCAGCACCGAGUCUGCAGCUGGCAGCAGCUGGGACAUCAGGAUCGGUAGGGUGGCCGGCGUCGCCGGCGGACACGCGACGCGGUCCGUGUCGUGCCACCAGAGCAUGUUCCCGUACCUGGUGUACUACUGCCACUCGGUGCCGAGCAUGCGGGUGUACGAGGCCGAGAUCCUGGCCACCGACUCCGGGUGGAAGAUCAACCGUGGCGUGGCGAUCUGCCACCUCGACACGUCGGACUGGAGCCCGGGUCACGGCGCAUUCGCCGCGCUUGGCGGGAAGCCGGGUGAGAUGGAGGUGUGCCAUUGGAUCUUGCAAGGGGACAUGGUUUGGACGGUGGCCGAUUGA
This 741-nucleotide ribosomal RNA is filed under the name Triticum aestivum (bread wheat). RNAcentral describes it as "partial small subunit ribosomal RNA". Lineage: Eukaryota; Viridiplantae; Streptophyta; Magnoliopsida; Poales; Poaceae. The record is from RNAcentral.